This 215-nucleotide unclassified non-coding RNA is filed under the name uncultured bacterium. RNAcentral describes it as "16S-23S ribosomal RNA intergenic spacer". The record is from RNAcentral.
CUAGGGGGUAUUUUUCUUUUAGGGUUUGUUGGUUUAUCGACGCUGUCGGGUGUCUCAAGCUGUAUGCCUGGACGCUUUGCACGGCAACGCAACGGUCACGACUUCGUGGUUGUUGUGUUGUGGUGUGUGUUGUUUGUGAACUGUAUAGUGGGAUGCGAGCAUAUCUUUUUUGUAUUGUUUGUUUGGUCGUGUUGGUGUGUCUGUCUGUGCGUGUG